Molecule: ribosomal RNA, 468 nt
Filed under: uncultured bacterium
Lineage: Bacteria
Description: partial 16S ribosomal RNA
Rfam family: Bacterial small subunit ribosomal RNA
Source: RNAcentral
GACGAACGCUGGCGGCGUGCUUAACACAUGCAAGUCGAACGGAAAGGCCCUGCUUUUGUGGGGUGCUCGAGUGGCGAACGGGUGAGUAACACGUGAGUAACCUGCCCUUGACUUUGGGAUAACUUCAGGAAACUGGGGCUAAUACCGGAUAGGAGCUCCUGCUGCAUGGUGGGGGUUGGAAAGUUUCGGCGGUUGGGGAUGGACUCGCGGCUUAUCAGCUUGUUGGGGGGGUAGUGGCUUACCAAGGCUUUGACGGGUAGCCGGCCUGAGAGUGUGACCGGGCACAUAGGGCAAGGGGAGGGGCCAGAACACCAGGGGGGGGAACGGGCGAAAGAUUUACCACAAGGCGCGGCGGCAGGAAACAGCAACGCCGGGUGGUAGAUCGCGGCUUUUGGUGAGGAACCCGUUUGCGCGUGGAACGAGCAGUGAGUGACGGUAAGGAAUAAGAAAGACCCGGCUAACUACGUG